UAUGUAUCAUUAUACCGGUCCGCGCCGCGCGGUGUGCACUGCAGUUACUGGUCUAGACGCGCGUGUGUGUUCCGUGUCCAGGCCUCCUAAACGUUGGCGAAAACCGCGAACCCGUUACGUAUUCUUGUCAUUACUGUCCUCCAAAGUUUUUUCGCGGAGUGAUUAUUUUAUAAAUAGUGGACCCAUAACCUGAACUGGAUUAACCUCUUCAUACCAACAAUAUUAAAUCAUCGUAUUGUCAAUUUUAAUUAAUACUGUUAAUUGAUACCUUAUAGUGCCCGACGAUUAUUUUUUAAACAAGUCAUCACACUGUGGUUACCCGACGGCAAUUAUCGUUAAUGAGCUACCAUUAAUAGUUAUUAAUAUCUGUGCUGUUCCGAGGAUUUUAUUAAUUAUAUUUCGGCUCAGUGUUUCAAGUGUGAUUUUUAGUAAUCAGUGUUUGGUGUGAUUUGUUGGAAUUGGGCGCCAAACAUAGUUUUUGUAAGCACAAACUGCAUUUGAUGAUCAUCAACCAAGACUAGGUGGUUAAGUGUCUUGAAUUAGAAGAUAUAAUUGAUGAUCUACCAUCAGGAAUCACUAAUUCGUUGGUUUGGUUUAAUUUACCCGAAUUGGGCGCCAAUAUACAGUUUUCGUCAAUUGAAAUUGUGAUCAUCAAAAAAGACUAGUGUCUUUAAUUAAUGAUCCACUAGGUAUCAAUAAUAGCUUGGAUGCUUUGAUAAGUUUGGUGUUAAGUUAAGAAUCUAUAAAAUUGGCAGUUUUAUAGCGUUGAAGAUAACGAAUAUGAGGAUUGUUGGAAAUUUAGUGUCUGGUAGCAAAAGAAGCUGACGCUAGUGAGUGUUUGGAAUUGGUAGCGGUGGUUUUUCAAAGGUACCAGGUGUUUUAGUGGUUGAUAUUGUUCGCGAGUGUCAUUGCCAGUAAAUAAUAGUCGAUAAUAGAAUAACUAGUCGACCCUGGAUGUGAAGUGGUAAUCCUGGUGGUUGAAGAGCAAGGAUUUAGCUAACUUACCAGAGAGUCAGCCGACGCGAAAGCAUCGGCAAGCUCCAAGAUUCGGGCUCCGUGCGGCUUUAGAGUCGCGGCGACGUCGGCUGGUGCCGCGUACGGCCUCGACGUUGCUAUUAAGGUGGAUCGCCCGGGCAGCACGACGACGCUCAACUUCACGGACCUGGGGAGCCCAUUCGGGGCGGGCGACCCCUGUCCGUCGAGCACCCCGACCCCGAACAGUAUGUCGGGGGGACCGGCCUCGGGAGCGGGCGCCGGGGGUGGAUCCGCUGGGGGAGGAAACUCCGACAUGGACCAGCAUCUCCACCACGGAGGACUCGGUUCGGUGACUCCUGGCCCGCCGGGAAACGGCGGAGACAGCGCCUCUAGUACCCCAGUGUCCCAGUCCGGGAAAAGCGCCUUCAUUGAGCUCCAACACAACAAUCUUUACAACCCCGCGAGUUUGAGGGGAGGCUACCCCGGAGGCCACAAUGUCUCCGCGGGACACCAGUUCUCGCAUCAGGUGGGCUCCUUGGGCCAUCAAAGCUCCGGACCCGGGAGUGGAAAUCAGCAACACUCUGAUGCAGGGUUUCCUAGUCCCAGGUCCGCACUAGCUGGGUACCCUUUUGCGCCAAUGCACCAGCACAAUGCGUACGGAUAUCAUCUCAGUUCUUAUGCUCCGCAAUGCCCCUCACCGCCCAAGGACGGGUGGUGUAUGUUCACAGACCUCUCGCCUUUGGGUGAUAAGGGAGGAAGCCUGGUGGACGAGCUGGGAGGAGGAGGCGGCGGCUCCCUGAGAAACGGCAAGGGCAAGAAAAUGCGUAAGCCCAGAACGAUCUACAGCAGCCUGCAGCUCCAGCAGCUGAACAGGCGGUUCCAGAGGACGCAGUACCUCGCACUACCUGAGCGAGCGGAGCUGGCAGCCAGCCUAGGGUUGACGCAGACACAGGUGAAAAUCUGGUUCCAAAACAGGAGGAGCAAGUACAAGAAGAUGAUGAAGGCUGCACAGCAGGGCGGCGGUGGCGGAGCCGGCCAGCAUGGGAACCUCUUAGCUGGUGGUCCCUCACCUCAACCUGGACAACCUGGCGGGCUUAUGCAAGGCGGCGGAGGUAGUUCAGUGUCCGGAAGUCCAACGACAGGUUACCUGGGCGGGAUCGGCCCCGGCGGAGGCGAAAAUACCCCGGGGAGCUCAACACCCGGAAGCGACAUGUCGCCCCAGCACAACGAGAGCCCACCAGCGCCUGCCUGGACCGGCGAGAUGAAACACCACCCACACUCCCACGCUCCGCCACACACCCACCAUCACCCCCACACGCCCGGGCACCAUCCACCCCCGCCUCCGCCGCCGCCUCAUCACUCCGGAUACAUCCCCCAGUAUUCGUGGUACCAAACGGAACCUAAUCCCGGAUUACUCACAUAUUAUUGACAACAAUGAUGAUGCAUAGAAAAUACUUAAUAUCAUCUAAUGUAACAUUCUACUCGCUAACAAAUAUUCAAAAUGGGUCUGGCCCGCAGUGUAACGAACACACUGAGAGCUGUAAAGUCCAAAAAAAAAAACACAGGACUAGAUCAACAAUAAACAACCCUAGGACUCAAAGAGUCUACGCCAAUCCGCUGCUCCAAAGGCAAUUAUAAAAACAAAGGUGCGAAACGUCUGAAACGAGAGUCGAGCGAUCAUCUUGCAAAAUGUAAAUAAAUAAAUUAAGUUAAAAUUAAUUUAUUGAUAUGCGAACGCGGAAAUAGUUAUAC
Molecule: unclassified non-coding RNA, 2727 nt
Filed under: Cotesia glomerata
Lineage: Eukaryota; Metazoa; Arthropoda; Insecta; Hymenoptera; Braconidae
Description: homeotic protein distal-less, transcript variant X2
Source: RNAcentral